Cyanobacterium stanieri PCC 7202 is the source of this 96-nucleotide regulatory RNA element. It matches the Rfam family "TPP riboswitch aptamer (THI element)". Rfam says of the family: Vitamin B(1) in its active form thiamin pyrophosphate (TPP) is an essential coenzyme that is synthesised by coupling of pyrimidine and thiazole moieties in bacteria. The previously detected thiamin-regulatory element, thi box was extended, resulting in a new, highly conserved RNA secondary structure, the THI element, which is widely distributed in eubacteria and also occurs in some archaea. The record is from Rfam. NCBI's taxonomy places the organism in Bacteria, Bacillati, Cyanobacteriota, Cyanophyceae, Chroococcales, Geminocystaceae.
AACCAUAGCUAGGGGUGUCUAAAAAAUUAGGCUGAGAAAAACCCUUAGAACCUGAGACUGGGUAAUACCAGCGUAGGAAAGCUGUUUAUAGAGGAU